Molecule: long non-coding RNA, 470 nt
Filed under: Triticum aestivum (bread wheat)
Lineage: Eukaryota; Viridiplantae; Streptophyta; Magnoliopsida; Poales; Poaceae
Description: long non-coding RNA (TAES_LNC012970)
Source: RNAcentral
UUUACGUAUAUGUUCACACAUGCACAUGAAACUGAUCAGGACAUUCCUAAAACCAAUCAGAUGCAAGCAGAAUGAUUUGGUAACUUAUUUCUCCUAGUAAUUGUAAGCUGCUACAACAUCUCCAACACUGAAAGAGGAAACUCUCAGCAGGAAGACGAUUCAUCCAGAGGUAACAUACAUCAACAUGGAAAGCAAGAACACUAGCACUCAUUGAAGCUUGAUCAGAAAUGCAAGCUUCUUUGGUUUCCUUUUAUACAUAUACAGAAACCUUCAUUCUUCUAACCGGCUAGAUAUGGAGCUGAUUAAUUAGAUCGAUAUGAGUACCUACAAACAUAGGAACAAGUAAAUAGUUAUGUUGAUUUUGCAAUGAAAUAGAAGAUUAGAACCAAUCAACUUGAAGUAGCAUUCCCCCACUUGUUCAUUAGAAUCAUUCAUCUUGUUGGAUGCAGCACAAGAAGCGACGAAUUAGG